This 425-nucleotide ribosomal RNA is filed under the name Xenorhabdus koppenhoeferi. RNAcentral's name for it is "partial 23S ribosomal RNA". It matches the Rfam family "Bacterial large subunit ribosomal RNA", at positions 1127 to 1550 of the family's 2925-position model. Lineage: Bacteria; Pseudomonadati; Pseudomonadota; Gammaproteobacteria; Enterobacterales; Morganellaceae. The record is from RNAcentral.
AGAGUGCGUAAUAGCUCACUAGUCGAGUGACUCUGCGCCGAAAAUGUACCGGGGCUAAAUACACCACCGAAGCUGCGAAUUGAUACCAAUGGUAUCAGUGGUAGGGGAGCGUUCUAAGGACAGUGAAGUCAGACCGUAAGGACUGGUGGAGUGCUUAGAAGUGAGAAUGCCGGUAUGAGUAGCGAAAGACGGGUGAGAAUCCCGUCCACCGAAUGCCUAAGGUUUCCUGAGGAAGGCUCGUCCGCUCAGGGUUAGUCAGGACCUAAGCCGAGGCCGACAGGCGUAGGCGAUGGACAACAGGUUGAUAUUCCUGUACCACCUCUUUAUCGUUUGAGCAAUGGAGGGACGCAGAAGGAUAGAAGAAGCGUGCGAUUGGUUGUGCACGUCCAAGCAGUUAGGCUGAUAAGUAGGCAAAUCCGCUUAUC